This is a long non-coding RNA of Leptidea sinapis, 616 nucleotides long. RefSeq lists it as uncharacterized. The record is from RefSeq and is a predicted model, not a curated record. NCBI's taxonomy places the organism in Eukaryota, Metazoa, Arthropoda, Insecta, Lepidoptera, Pieridae. The transcript is spliced from 3 exons.
AGAACCUAAUGCAACAUACUCGAACGUCAAAUAGUCAAUGCCUUACACGAGUAAGUGAAAAAAGUAAAUGUUAAUUAAUACAAAAGUUAUUGAGUAUAGUAGCUGCAUCCACACACACCGUAAAUAAAUAAAGGAAAUAGCAUUUUUGUAGCAAUGUGAAAUCUCAAGUUCGUACAAGAUGAAAAACUCGGCAAGUCAGUGUGAACAAUUUUGUGCAAAAUAAUGAGUUCGAGGGUACCCUACGUCUUUCAGGCGCGUUUUGACUUGCUCUCUAAUUGACGGUUACGCGACUUAACACGAACGAAUUCAUGAUUAAGUUGCAAGUCCAAACAUGUUCCUGAUAUUUUACUCUUUAACGAGCUUGCACUUAGGUUGAAAGUUCAUUUGCGUUUUGAAAUUCAUUGAAGCUUGAACGAUAAUAACUCAUUUUUCAGUAACUGUUGCGGCUUCGCCUUCACCGAGCGGAGCCCGGCCCAUACAUCGCGCUGGUGUGCGUGUACCACGCGCAACGCGCAUCUCACACAUACACAGACAUCAGCGCGGCGCGGCCCACCGCCCGCGUCAUCCUCCAGUCGUCGCCUGCGCGCCCUGAGCAAGGACGGGUGUGCGCCGCUCA